Molecule: ribosomal RNA, 238 nt
Filed under: uncultured bacterium
Lineage: Bacteria
Description: partial 16S ribosomal RNA
Rfam family: Bacterial small subunit ribosomal RNA
Source: RNAcentral
AACGAACGCUGGCGGCAGGCCUAACACAUGCAAGUCGAGCGCCCUCGCAAGAGGGAGCGGCGGACGGGUGAGUAACGCGUGGGAAUUUUCCUCAAGGUACGGAACAACUCAGGGAAACUUGGGCUAAUACCGUAUGAUGUCCAGCGACCAAAGAUUUAUCGCCUUGGGAUAAGCCCGCGUCAGAUUAGGUAGUUGGUGGGGUAACGGCCUACCAAGCCUGCGAUCUGUAGCUGGUCNG